RNAcentral lists this ribosomal RNA (433 nucleotides) under uncultured bacterium. Its description in RNAcentral is "partial 16S ribosomal RNA". It matches the Rfam family "Bacterial small subunit ribosomal RNA", at positions 29 to 507 of the family's 1533-position model. The record is from RNAcentral.
AACGAACGCUGGCGGCAUGCCUAACACAUGCAAGUCGAACGAGAUCUUCGGAUCUAGUGGCGCACGGGUGCGUAACGCGUGGGAAUCUGCCCCUUGCUUCGGAAUAACAGUGAGAAAUUACUGCUAAUACCGGAUGAUGUCUUCGGACCAAAGAUUUAUCGGCAAGGGAUGAGCCCGCGUAGGAUUAGGUAGUUGGUGGGGUAAUGGCCUACCAAGCCGACGAUCCUUAGCUGGUCUGAGAGGAUGAUCAGCCACACUGGGACUGAGACACGGCCCAGACUCCUACGGGAGGCAGCAGUGGGGAAUAUUGGGCAAUGGGCGAAAGCCUGAUCCAGCAAUGCCGCGUGAGUGAUGAAGGCCUUAGGGUUGUAAAGCUCUUUUACCAGGGAUGAUAAUGACAGUACCUGGAGAAUAAGCUCCGGCUAACUCCGUG